CAAGUGAGCCGGGUGAUCGCGGCGCGUCUUCGGGCGCGUCGAGGAAAGUCCGCUCUCCACAGAGCACGGCGCCGGGUAACGCCCGGAGCGGGGCAACCUGCUGGAAGAGGGCCACAGAGAAGCGUAGUGCCUGGAUUGCUGAUUGAUGAUUUCUGAAUGAUGAUUGUUCGCCUAAAGCGGCAAUCAGAAAUCAACAAUCAAAAAUCAGCAAUCCAGGUGAGGGUGAAACGGUGGUGUAAGAGACCACCGGCGCUCGCGGCAACGCGAGCGGCCAGGCAACCCCCGCCGGGAGCAAGAUCGAGCAGAGGCGAGCUGUUGCUCGCAGCGUUUGAGCCUCGGGUAGACCGCACGAGCCGGGCAGUAAUGUCCGGCCCAGAGAGAUGAUCGCCGCCUCGCAAGAGGCACAGAAAGCGGCUUACAGGCUCACUUGAACA
This 434-nucleotide RNase P RNA is filed under the name Chloroflexota bacterium. RNAcentral describes it as "Chloroflexi bacterium (groundwater metagenome) RNase P RNA component class A". It matches the Rfam family "Bacterial RNase P class A". From Rfam's summary of the family: Ribonuclease P (RNase P) is a ubiquitous endoribonuclease, found in archaea, bacteria and eukarya as well as chloroplasts and mitochondria. The record is from RNAcentral. Lineage: Bacteria; Bacillati; Chloroflexota.